UAUUUUUCAAAUAUUUAUAUUUUUUGGACUAAUCUUACAAAGCUCGCCCUUUAUUUAGGCUAUCUUGAGCUAUUUCCUCCUCUAUUUAAUCCCGUCUUCUCUAUUAUUAGCCGGCGAAACUUCCGACAAUGGCACGUUUUCAGUCCUUUGACUCCUUUCUGUUACUAUGUGCUGUGGUUUACACAAUCCUCCUCCCCUUCGCAGCCUCCGAUGCGGCGUAUCCUCCUCCCUAUGGGCUUGGUUCCACCGAGGAAGAUCUUGUCCCCGUCNNNNNN
Molecule: long non-coding RNA, 275 nt
Filed under: Olea europaea (common olive)
Lineage: Eukaryota; Viridiplantae; Streptophyta; Magnoliopsida; Lamiales; Oleaceae
Description: long non-coding RNA (OEUR_LNC001305)
Source: RNAcentral